CUUGGUCAUUUAGAGGAAGUAAAAGUCAUAACAAGGUUUCCGUAGGUGAACCUGCGGAAGGAUCAUUAAUAGUGCCCAUUGAUGCAAAUCAUUGGGUUAGAUCUGCCCUUAUCGCAAGAUGAGGGCUUCCAUAUACACCGUGAACUGUGGCUUCGGCCAUCACAAACUGUUAGUAAUGAAUGUAAUAUCAUAACAAAAACAAAACUUUUAACAACGGAUCUCUUGGCUCUCGCAUCGAUGAAGAACGCAGCGAAAUGCGAUAAGUAAUGUGAAUUGCAGAAUUCAGUGAAUCAUCGAAUCUUUGAACGCACCUUGCGCCCUUCGGUAUUCCGAAGGGCAUGCCUGUUUGAGUGUCAUGAAACCUCACCCCACUUAGGUUUUUGCCUAAGCGGUGGUGUAUUGGGUGUUUGCCUUGCUAAAGGCUCGCCUUAAAGAUAUAAGCACCUUGGAUGUAAUACGUUUCAUCCUUCUGGGUGGCUGAUAACCCCACAUAUUCAUGAUCUGGCCUCAAAUCAGGUAGGGCUACCCGCUGAACUUAAGCAUAUCAAUAAGCGGAGGAAAAGAAACUAACUAGGAUUCCCUUAGUAACGGCGAGUGAACCGGGAUGAGCUCAAAUUUAAAAUCUGGCGUCUUUCAGGCGUCCGAGUUGUAAUCUAUAGAGGCGUUUUCCGCGCCGGACCGCGUCCAAGUCUCUUGGAAUAGAGUAUCAAAGAGGGUGACAAUCCCGUACUUGACGCGACAACCGGUGCUCUGUGAUACGUUCUCAAUGAGUCGAGUUGUUUGGGAAU
RNAcentral lists this small RNA (788 nucleotides) under uncultured Cryptococcus. Its description in RNAcentral is "eukaryotic LSU rRNA". The stretch from base 503 to 788 matches the Rfam family "Eukaryotic large subunit ribosomal RNA", at positions 1 to 281 of the family's 3401-position model. The record is from RNAcentral. Lineage: Eukaryota; Fungi; Basidiomycota; Tremellomycetes.